This 150-nucleotide unclassified non-coding RNA is filed under the name Oryza sativa (Asian cultivated rice). RNAcentral describes it as "partial microRNA MIR468n-24 precursor". The record is from RNAcentral. Lineage: Eukaryota; Viridiplantae; Streptophyta; Magnoliopsida; Poales; Poaceae.
ACAUACUCCCUUCGUCCUAAUAAAAAUGAAUCUAGUACUGGAUGUGACACAUUCUAGUACAACAAAUCUGGAUAGAGGUAUGUCUAGAUUUAUAGUACUAGGAUAUGUCAUAUCAUCUAAAAGUUACUAUAUUUUAAAAUGGAGGAAGUA